CACGUAGGGCGCAAGCGUUGUCCGGAAUUAUUGGGCGUAAAGAGCUCGUAGGCGGUCUGUUGCGUCCGCUGUGAAAACUCGGGGCUUAACCCCGAGCCUGCAGUGGAUACGGGCAGACUAGAGGUAGGUAGGGGAGAAUGGAAUUCCCGGUGUAGCGGUGAAAUGCGCAGAUAUCGGGAGGAACACCGGUGGCGAAGGCGGGACUCUGGGCCGAUACUGACGCUGAGGAGCGAAAGCGUGGGGAGCAAACAGG
RNAcentral lists this ribosomal RNA (253 nucleotides) under uncultured bacterium. RNAcentral describes it as "partial 16S ribosomal RNA". It matches the Rfam family "Bacterial small subunit ribosomal RNA", at positions 524 to 776 of the family's 1533-position model. The record is from RNAcentral.